AGUGAACGCUGGCGGUAGGCCUAACACAUGCAAGUCGAACGGCAGCACAGUAAGAGCUUGCUCUUACGGGUGGCGAGUGGCGGACGGGUGAGGAAUACAUCGGAAUCUACUUUUUCGUGGGGGAUAACGUAGGGAAACUUACGCUAAUACCGCAUACGACCUACGGGUGAAAGCAGGGGAUCUUCGGACCUUGCGCGAUUGAAUGAGCCGAUGUCGGAUUAGCUAGUUGGCGGGGUAAAGGCCCACCAAGGCGACGAUCCGUAGCUGGUCUGAGAGGAUGAUCAGCCACACUGGAACUGAGACACGGUCCAGACUCCUACGGGAGGCAGCAGUGGGGAAUAUUGGACAAUGGGCGCAAGCCUGAUCCAGCCAUACCGCGUGGGUGAAGAAGGCCUUCGGGUUGUAAAGCCCUUUUGUUGGGAAAGAAAAGCAGCAGGUUAAGACCCCGCUGUUCUGACGGGACCCAAAGAAGAAGCACCGGCUAACUUCGU
This 491-nucleotide ribosomal RNA is filed under the name uncultured bacterium. Its description in RNAcentral is "partial 16S ribosomal RNA". It matches the Rfam family "Bacterial small subunit ribosomal RNA", at positions 29 to 506 of the family's 1533-position model. The record is from RNAcentral.